RNAcentral lists this transfer RNA (61 nucleotides) under bovine gut metagenome. It matches the Rfam family "tRNA", at positions 6 to 65 of the family's 71-position model. From Rfam's summary of the family: Transfer RNA (tRNA) molecules are approximately 80 nucleotides in length. The record is from RNAcentral.
GUUAGCUCAAUGGAUAGAGUACCGGUCUUCGGAACCGAGGAUGUGGGUUCAAGUCCCUCAC